Non-coding RNA from Erinaceus europaeus (western European hedgehog), 102 nucleotides. Lineage: Eukaryota; Metazoa; Chordata; Mammalia; Eulipotyphla; Erinaceidae. The record is from Rfam.
GACUGCUUCAGCAGUACAUGUACUAAAACUGGAAUGAUGCAGAGAUUUGCAUGGCCCAUGCAUAAGGAUGACACGCAAAUUUAUGAAGAGUUACAUGACGUU